This 455-nucleotide ribosomal RNA is filed under the name uncultured bacterium. RNAcentral's name for it is "bacterial SSU rRNA". It matches the Rfam family "Bacterial small subunit ribosomal RNA", at positions 29 to 526 of the family's 1533-position model. The record is from RNAcentral.
AACGAACGCUGGCGGCAUGCCUAACACAUGCAAGUCGAACGAAGUCUUCGGACUUAGUGGCGCACGGGUGCGUAACGCGUGGGAAUCUGCCCUUGGGUGCGGAAUAACUUCUCGAAAGGGAUGCUAAUACCGCAUAAUGUCGUAAGACCAAAGAUUUACCGCCCAAGGAUGAGCCCGCGUAAGAUUAGCUAGUUGGUGGGGUAAAAGCCUACCAAGGCGACGAUCUUUAGCUGGUCUGAGAGGAUGAUCAGCCACACUGGGACUGAGACACGGCCCAGACUCCUACGGGAGGCAGCAGUGGGGAAUAUUGGACAAUGGGCGAAAGCCUGAUCCAGCAAUGCCGCGUGAGUGAUGAAGGCCCUAGGGUUGUAAAGCUCUUUUACCAGGGAUGAUAAUGACAGUACCUGGAGAAUAAGCUCCGGCUAACUCCGUAGCCAGCACGCCGACGGUAAUCU